CAUUUUAAGAGCAAACCUUCCCUCCUUGACAUACCACAGUGACAAAUUGCAUCCAAUACAUCUACCUCUGCUAGGAGGGGAACACCGUACUGAUCUGUUCUACUUCUGUCUGAACUUGUGAAGAGGAGCACAGCAUUAUGGUCUUGGUGAUUUGGACAGGACAACGCAGGUUGUGCCCUGUAAUGAUGCUGCAGGGAUGUCUUUUGAAUGAGUUCCUUCUGCAGACCAAGCUGUGAAUGGAGAUAACUAUCCACUCUACCAGAAGUGGAAAGAGUAACCUGCA
This is a long non-coding RNA of Nothoprocta perdicaria, 283 nucleotides long. RefSeq lists it as uncharacterized. Lineage: Eukaryota; Metazoa; Chordata; Aves; Tinamiformes; Tinamidae. The record is from RefSeq and is a predicted model, not a curated record. The transcript has 3 exons.